Molecule: ribosomal RNA, 720 nt
Filed under: Piophila nigriceps
Lineage: Eukaryota; Metazoa; Arthropoda; Insecta; Diptera; Piophilidae
Description: partial 12S ribosomal RNA
Source: RNAcentral
AUGUAAAUUUUUGUGUGAAUUUUUAUUUAUUUUAAAAGUGAAUAAAUUUUAUUUUAGUCGCAGUAAUUAGUAUUAUUAAUUAAAGAAAUUUAGAAAUAGUAAUAUUAAAGAGUAUUGGCAAAAUUCGUGCCAGCAGUCGCGGUUAUACGAAUAAUACAAAUAAAUUUUUUUCAGUAAAAGUUAAAUUUUUAUUUAUAAAAUAUAAAUAAAUUUAUUAGGUGAAAUUUUAAAUUUAUAUAAUUUUAAAUAAAAAAAUUAUUGAAGCUUGGAAAUUUUAUAAAUAAACUAGGAUUAGAUACCCUAUUAUUUAAAAUGUAUUUUAUUUACUAAAGUAGUAGUAGUUAUGUUCUUGAAACUUAAAAAAUUUGGCGGUAUUUUAGUCUAUUCAGAGGAACCUGUCCUGUAAUCGAUGAUCCACGAUGGACCUUUCUUAAAUUUGUUUUUCAGUUUAUAUACCGUCGUUAUCAGAAUAUUUUAUAAGAAAAAUAAUUUUCUAGAAUUUUUAUAAAAAUUUAUAUCAGAUCAAGGUGUAGCUUAUAUUUAAGUAGAGAUGGGUUACAAUAAAUUUAUUUUUGGAUAUAAAUAUGAAAAAUUUAUUGAAAUUGGAUUUGAUAGUAAAAUUAUAASUAGAUUAAUAAUUUGAUUUUAGCUCUAAAAUGUGCACACAUCGCCCGUCGCUCUUAUUAUUAAGGUAAGAUAAGUCGUAACAUAGUAGAUGUA